UGCCAGCAGCCGCGGUAAUACGGAGGGUGCAAGCGUUGCUCGGAAUUACUGGGCGUAAAGCGGGCGCAGGCGGCCCAUCAAGUCAGUUGUGAAAGCCCGGAGCUCAACUCCGGAACUGCAGCUGAAACUGAUGAGCUUGAGUACGAGAGAGGAGAGCGGAAUUCCUGGUGUAGAGGUGAAAUUCGUAGAUAUCAGGAGGAACAUCAGCGGCGAAGGCGGCUCUCUGGCUCGAUACUGACGCUCAUGCCCGAAAGCGUGGGGAGCAAACAGGAUUAGAUA
This 279-nucleotide ribosomal RNA is filed under the name uncultured bacterium. Its description in RNAcentral is "partial 16S ribosomal RNA". It matches the Rfam family "Bacterial small subunit ribosomal RNA", at positions 506 to 784 of the family's 1533-position model. The record is from RNAcentral.